CUUAGCUCCUGGAUGUCCCGACCAAAUCAAUCCCUAUAUAACCCGAGGCACCCUGAUGGCAUGCCUAGUGGCACGGCUCAUCUUACCACGAUUGCCAGCUCUACCCCCGCAAACACCGGUGGCUCCUACACUUGAUGUGGUGGCGCAAGGGGUGCCGCAUAGUGCCCAUGAUAUACCCGACAUAAGACCCUUUCCUUACCU
Pelobates cultripes (western spadefoot toad) is the source of this 201-nucleotide non-coding RNA. The record is from the annotation of a GenBank genome assembly. NCBI's taxonomy places the organism in Eukaryota, Metazoa, Chordata, Amphibia, Anura, Pelobatidae.